RNAcentral lists this transfer RNA (77 nucleotides) under Desulfovibrio sp. An276. RNAcentral's name for it is "tRNA-Arg". It matches the Rfam family "tRNA". From Rfam's summary of the family: Transfer RNA (tRNA) molecules are approximately 80 nucleotides in length. Their secondary structure includes four short double-helical elements and three loops (D, anti-codon, and T loops). Further hydrogen bonds mediate the characteristic L-shaped molecular structure. tRNAs have two regions of fundamental functional importance: the anti-codon, which is responsible for specific mRNA codon recognition, and the 3' end, to which the tRNAs corresponding amino acid is attached (by aminoacyl-tRNA synthetases). tRNAs cope with the degeneracy of the genetic code in two manners: having more than one tRNA (with a specific anti-codon) for a particular amino acid; and 'wobble' base-pairing, i.e. permitting non-standard base-pairing at the 3rd anti-codon position. RNAcentral also lists the same sequence under 2 other names. Lineage: Bacteria; Pseudomonadati; Thermodesulfobacteriota; Desulfovibrionia; Desulfovibrionales; Desulfovibrionaceae. The record is from RNAcentral.
GGGCUCGUAGCUCAGUUGGAUAGAGCAACAGGCUACGAACCUGUGUGUCGGGAGUUCGAAUCUCUCCGGGCCCACCA